AGGGAAAUAUCUCAUUGGUAGAGCACAUGCUUAGCAUACAUGAGGUCCUGGGUUCAAUUCCCAGUAUCUCCA
This 72-nucleotide transfer RNA is filed under the name Camelus bactrianus (Bactrian camel). It matches the Rfam family "tRNA". Rfam says of the family: Transfer RNA (tRNA) molecules are approximately 80 nucleotides in length. Their secondary structure includes four short double-helical elements and three loops (D, anti-codon, and T loops). Further hydrogen bonds mediate the characteristic L-shaped molecular structure. tRNAs have two regions of fundamental functional importance: the anti-codon, which is responsible for specific mRNA codon recognition, and the 3' end, to which the tRNAs corresponding amino acid is attached (by aminoacyl-tRNA synthetases). tRNAs cope with the degeneracy of the genetic code in two manners: having more than one tRNA (with a specific anti-codon) for a particular amino acid; and 'wobble' base-pairing, i.e. permitting non-standard base-pairing at the 3rd anti-codon position. RNAcentral also lists the same sequence under 2 other names. The record is from Rfam by way of RNAcentral. Lineage: Eukaryota; Metazoa; Chordata; Mammalia; Artiodactyla; Camelidae.